ACGGGGGGUGCAAGCGUUGUUCGGAAUCAUUGGGCGUAAAGCGCGCGCAGGCGGCUUGGUAAGUCAGAUGUGAAAUCCCUGGGCUUAACCCAGGAAGUGCAUUUGAUACUGCCUCGCUAGAGUACGGGAGAGGAAAGUGGAAUUCCUGGUGUAGAGGUGAAAUUCGUAGAUAUCAGGAGGAACACCGGUGGCGAAGGCGACUUUCUGGCCGGAUACUGAGGCUGGGGGGCGGGGGCGUGGGGAGCAAACAG
Molecule: ribosomal RNA, 251 nt
Filed under: uncultured prokaryote
Description: partial 16S rRNA
Rfam family: Bacterial small subunit ribosomal RNA
Source: RNAcentral